UACGAAGGGGGCUAGCGUUGCUCGGAAUUACUGGGCGUAAAGGGCGCGUAGGCGGAUGGUACAGUCAGAUGUGAAAGUCCCGGGCUUAACCUGGGGGCUGCAUUUGAUACGUGCGAUCUGGAGUGAGGAAGAGGGUCGUGGAAUUCCCAGUGUAGAGGUGAAAUUCGUAGAUAUUGGGAAGAACACCGGUGGCGAAGGCGGCGACCUGGUCCUUGACUGACGCUGAGGCGCGAAAGCGUGGGGAGCAAACAGG
RNAcentral lists this ribosomal RNA (253 nucleotides) under uncultured bacterium. RNAcentral describes it as "partial 16S ribosomal RNA". It matches the Rfam family "Bacterial small subunit ribosomal RNA", at positions 524 to 776 of the family's 1533-position model. The record is from RNAcentral.